CGGACGGCAGAGUAAUGCGUGAGAUCCGCUCUUCAGGCUUGGAAUUACAGAGUGACAGGUUUGCUAAAGCCGGAUGCUGCCGAAAGGUGAAAAUUUACCUGCCUGAAGAGGGGCUUGCGUCUGAUUAGGUAGUUGGAGCGGUACAGGCCCUCCUAGAGGACGAUCAGUAUCUGGUCUGAGAGGAGGAGCAGCCUCAGUGGGACUGAGCCACGUUCCAGACUCCUACGGGAGUCAGCAGUGGCGAAUUUUCCGCAAUGGGCGAAAGCCUGACGGAGCAAGACCGCGUGAGGGAGGAAGGCCCUAGGGUUGUAAACCUCUUUUCUCGGGGAUGAAGAACGCCGGUACCAGAGGAAUAAGCCUCGGCUACCUCCGUGCCAGCAGCCGCGGUAAUACGGAGGAGGCAAGCGUUAUCCGGAAUGAUUGGGCGUAAAGAGUUCGUAGGUGGUAAUGAAAGUUUUCCGUUAAAGAGUAAGGCUUAACCUUAGGAGAGCGGUGAAAACUACAUACCUAGAGUAUGGAAGGGGCAGAGGGAAUUCCUGGUGUAGCGGUGAAAUUCGUAGAGACUCAGGAGGAACCUCGGUGGCGAAAGCGCUCUGUUAGCCCAAAUCUGCCUCUGAGGAACGAAACCUAGGGGAGGGAAAGGGAUUAGAUCCCCCCGUUAGUC
This 664-nucleotide ribosomal RNA is filed under the name uncultured cyanobacterium. RNAcentral describes it as "bacterial SSU rRNA". It matches the Rfam family "Bacterial small subunit ribosomal RNA", at positions 99 to 795 of the family's 1533-position model. The record is from RNAcentral. Lineage: Bacteria; Bacillati; Cyanobacteriota.